This 305-nucleotide ribosomal RNA is filed under the name uncultured bacterium. RNAcentral's name for it is "bacterial SSU rRNA". It matches the Rfam family "Bacterial small subunit ribosomal RNA", at positions 335 to 638 of the family's 1533-position model. The record is from RNAcentral.
UUACCUACGGGGGGCAGCAGUGAGGAAUAUUGGUCAAUGGGCGAGAGCCUGAACCAGCCAAGUCGCGUGAGGGAGUACUGCCCUAUGGGUUGUAAACCUCUUUUGUCGGGGAGCAAAAGCCGGACGUGUCCGUCUGUGAGAGUACCCGAAGAAAAAGCAUCGGCUAACUCCGUGCCAGCAGCCGCGGUAAUACGGAGGAUCCAAGCGUUAUCCGGAUUUAUUGGGUUUAAAGGGUGCGUAGGCGGAUUGAUAAGUUAGAGGUGAAAUGUCCGAGCUUAACUCGGGAACUGCCUCUAAUACUGUUG